Molecule: ribosomal RNA, 492 nt
Filed under: uncultured bacterium
Lineage: Bacteria
Description: partial 16S ribosomal RNA
Rfam family: Bacterial small subunit ribosomal RNA
Source: RNAcentral
AGUGAACGCUGGCGGUAGGCCUAACACAUGCAAGUCGAACGGCAGCACAGUAAGAGCUUGCUCUUACGGGUGGCGAGUGGCGGACGGGUGAGGAAUACUUCGGAAUCUACUUUUUCGUGGGUGAUAACGUAGGGACACUUACGCUAAUACCGCAUACGACCUACGGGUGAAAGCAGGGGAUCUUCGGACCUUGCGCGAUUGAAUGAGCCGAUGUCGGAUUAGCUAGUUGGCGGGGUAAAGGCCCACCAAGGCGACGAUCCGUAGCUGGUCUGAGAGGAUGAUCAGCCACACUGGAACUGAGACACGGUCCAGACUCCUACGGGAGGCAGCAGUGGGGAAUAUUGGACAAUGGGCGAAAGCCUGAUCCAGCCAUACCGCGUGGGUGAAGAAGGCCUUCGGGUUGUAAAGCACUUUUGUUGGGAAAGAAAAGCAGCAGGUUAAUACCCCGCUGUUCUGACGUUACCCAAAGAAUAAGCACCGGCUAACUUCGUG